AAACGGGUGGUAAUGCCGGAUGCUCCGACUCCUCGCAUGGGGUGUCGGGAAAGAUUUCAUCGGUAUGGGAUGGGGUCGCGUCCUAUCAGGUAGUCGGCGGGGUAACGGCCCACCGAGCCUACGACGGGUAGCCGGCCUGAGAGGGCGACCGGCCACAUUGGGACUGAGAUACGGCCCAGACUCCUACGGGAGGCAGCAGUGGGGAAUAUUGCACAAUGGGCGCAAGCCUGAUGCAGCGACGCCGCGUGCGGGAUGACGGCCUUCGGGUUGUAAACCGCUUUUGAUCGGGAGCAAGCCUUCGGGUGAGUGUACCUUUCGAAUAAGCACCGGCUAACUACGUGCCAGCAGCCGCGGUAAUACGUAGGGUGCAAGCGUUAUCCGGAAUUAUUGGGCGUAAAGGGCUCGUAGGCGGUUCGUCGCGUCCGGUGUGAAAGUCCAUCGCUUAACGGUGGAUCUGCGCCGGGUACGGGCGGGCUGGAGUGCGGUAGGGGAGACUGGAAUUCCCGGUGUAACGGUGGAAUGUGUA
This 526-nucleotide ribosomal RNA is filed under the name Bifidobacterium pseudocatenulatum. Its description in RNAcentral is "bacterial SSU rRNA". It matches the Rfam family "Bacterial small subunit ribosomal RNA", at positions 154 to 692 of the family's 1533-position model. The record is from RNAcentral. Lineage: Bacteria; Bacillati; Actinomycetota; Actinomycetes; Bifidobacteriales; Bifidobacteriaceae.